This is a long non-coding RNA of Apis florea (little honeybee), 257 nucleotides long. Lineage: Eukaryota; Metazoa; Arthropoda; Insecta; Hymenoptera; Apidae. The record is from RefSeq and is a predicted model, not a curated record.
GUUAACGUUAAUUUUUCUCUGAUCGUUUACCGCAGUAGCAACGUGAUUAUUAUUUUGAAUAUAUUAGAAUGAUCUCAAUCGUGCAUUCAAACAAAAGGAUAUUCUACAAGCAAAUGUAAUUCCACCGAUGUCAAUUCAAUGGAAUUCAUAUAUAUACAGAGAUAAUUUUGCAGACAACAUGUUUAUGUAAUUUUUAAUAUUUCAUCAAUUUUAAAUGUUUUUUCUGAGAUUUUAUUUUCUUCUAUUAAGGUAAGUAA